This 439-nucleotide ribosomal RNA is filed under the name uncultured bacterium. RNAcentral's name for it is "partial 16S ribosomal RNA". It matches the Rfam family "Bacterial small subunit ribosomal RNA", at positions 339 to 795 of the family's 1533-position model. The record is from RNAcentral.
CUACGGGUUGCUGCAGUGGGGAAUAUUGCACAAUGGGGGAAACCCUGAUGCAGCAACGCCGCGUGAGUGAUGAAGGCCUUCGGGUUGUAAAGCUCUGUUUCCAGGGACGAUAAUGACGGUACCUGGGGAGGAAGCCACGGCUAACUACGUGCCAGCAGCCGCGGUAAUACGUAGGUGGCAAGCGUUGUCCGGAUUUACUGGGCGUAAAGGGAGCGUAGGCGGAUUUUUAAGUGGGAUGUGAAAUCCCCGGGCUCAACCCGGGGGCUGCAUUCCAAACUGGAAAUCUAGAGUGUCGGAGAGGAAAGCAGAAUUCCUAGUGUAGCGGUGAAAUGCGUAGAGAUUAGGAAGAAUACCAGUGGCGAAGGCGGCUUUCUGGACGAUAACUGACGCUGAGGCUCGAAAGCGUGGGGAGCAAACAGGAUUAGAUACCCCUGUAGUC